Molecule: small RNA, 76 nt
Filed under: Sphingobium faniae
Lineage: Bacteria; Pseudomonadati; Pseudomonadota; Alphaproteobacteria; Sphingomonadales; Sphingobiaceae
Description: suhB
Rfam family: Makes More Granules Regulator RNA (mmgR)
About the family: SuhB later renamed mmgR (makes more granules regulator) was a putative non-coding RNA found multiple times in the Agrobacterium tumefaciens genome and related alpha-proteobacteria. Other non-coding RNAs uncovered in the same analysis include: speF, ybhL, metA, and serC.
Source: RNAcentral
AGGAAAGGCCUUUCAGGCAUCCUCUCCUAUAAACUUAGCGGGCUGGCCUUCGGGCCGGCCCUUUUUUUGUUCCAUC